CAAGGAGAUCGCUUACUUGAAGCUGACUUCGGCCCUGCCUCUAAAGGAGGAAGUGAACAUAUAGGGUGCUCUAAAUUGCUGGGCUGCCCAGGCUGGGCUUGACCUUGUCUUCCCACCUCGGCGUCUACCAUACACCUGGACUGCUGGAGACCUCGUCUGCGGACAGGAGGCAGCUGCCAGACUCCUGGGACCUGGACCACGGCUCCUGUCUGCAGAAGGACUGAGCAAACAGCCAGCGGAUGGGAGAUGAAAAGUGCUGCGGAUGGAACCAGGGCCUGUCAGGCCUAUACUCAUCCCUGAGCUCGGGUCAGGACCUCUAACUGGGUAAGCCCUUUCUCCAUGAAAUCAAACUCUACCCAACAAUCACUUUCUUCACACCGCCCCCUACCACCUCUUUCCUGCCUCU
Long non-coding RNA from Fukomys damarensis (Damara mole-rat), 406 nucleotides. RefSeq lists it as uncharacterized. The transcript is spliced from 3 exons. NCBI's taxonomy places the organism in Eukaryota, Metazoa, Chordata, Mammalia, Rodentia, Bathyergidae. The record is from RefSeq and is a predicted model, not a curated record.